Molecule: ribosomal RNA, 267 nt
Filed under: Salmonella enterica subsp. enterica serovar Blockley
Lineage: Bacteria; Pseudomonadati; Pseudomonadota; Gammaproteobacteria; Enterobacterales; Enterobacteriaceae
Description: partial 23S ribosomal RNA
Rfam family: Bacterial large subunit ribosomal RNA
Source: RNAcentral
UAAUGAUGGCGGCGCUGUCUCCAGCAGAGACUCAGUGAAAUCGAAAUCGCAGUGAAGAUGCUGUGUACCCGCGGCUAGACGGAAAGACCCCGUGAACCUUUACUACAGCUUUACAUUGAACUUUGACCUUACCUGUGUAGGAUAGGUGGGAGGCUUUGAAGCAGGCACGCCAGUGUCUGUGGAGCCAUCCUUGAAAUACCACCCUGGUAAUGUUGGGGUUCUAACUCAAGCUUAACAGAGCUGAGGACAAUGUAUGGUGGGUAGUUU